This 402-nucleotide unclassified non-coding RNA is filed under the name soil metagenome. RNAcentral's name for it is "partial contains 5.8S ribosomal RNA, internal transcribed spacer 2, and large subunit ribosomal RNA". The stretch from base 1 to 121 matches the Rfam family "5.8S ribosomal RNA", at positions 35 to 154 of the family's 154-position model. The record is from RNAcentral.
GAUGAAGAACGCAGCGAAAUGCGAUAAGUAAUGUGAAUUGCAGAAUUCAGUGAAUCAUCGAAUCUUUGAACGCACCUUGCGCCCUUUGGCUAUUCCGAAGGGCAUGCCUGUUUGAGUAUCAUGAACACCUCAACUCUUCACGGCUUGCCGUGAUGAGUUUGGACUUUGGGGGUCUUGCUGGCCUACGAGCCAGCUCCUCUCAAAUGUAUUAGCUUGCCGGUGUUUGGUGGCAUCACAGGUGUGAUAACUAUCUACGCUUGUGGUUUUCCACUAGGUAACCUUCAGCAAUGGAGGUUCACCGGAGCUCACAAAUGUCUCUCCUUGCCAAGGACAGAUUUUGACCAUUUGAUCUCAAAUCAGGUAGGACUACCCGCUGAACUUAAGCAUAUCAAUAACGGAGGA